This 397-nucleotide ribosomal RNA is filed under the name Cladosporium bruhnei. RNAcentral describes it as "partial small subunit ribosomal RNA". It matches the Rfam family "Eukaryotic small subunit ribosomal RNA", at positions 30 to 432 of the family's 1831-position model. Lineage: Eukaryota; Fungi; Ascomycota; Dothideomycetes; Cladosporiales; Cladosporiaceae. The record is from RNAcentral.
GCUUGUCUCAAAGAUUAAGCCAUGCAUGUUCAAGUAUAGCAAGUGUACAGUGAAACUGCGAAUGGCUCAUUAAAUCAGUUAUCGUUUAUUUGAUAGUACCUUACUACAUGGAUAACCGUGGUAAUUCUAGAGCUAAUACAUGCUAAAAACCUCGACUUCGGAAGGGGUGUAUUUAUUAGAUAAAAAACCAAUGCCCUUCGGGGCUCCUUGGUGAAUCAUAAUAACUUAACGAAUCGCAUGGCCUUGCGCCGGCGAUGGUUCAUUCAAAUUUCUGCCCUAUCAACUUUCGAUGGUAGGAUAGUGGCCUACCAUGGUAUCAACGGGUAACGGGGAAUUAGGGUUCGACUCCGGAGAGGGAGCCUGAGAAACGGCUACCACAUCCAAGGAAGGCAGCAGG